GUUCGAUCUCAAAUCAGGUAGGACUACCCGCUGAACUUAAGCAU
Molecule: ribosomal RNA, 44 nt
Filed under: uncultured Thelephoraceae
Lineage: Eukaryota; Fungi; Basidiomycota; Agaricomycetes; Thelephorales; Thelephoraceae
Description: partial 28S ribosomal RNA
Source: RNAcentral